Pelobates cultripes (western spadefoot toad) is the source of this 544-nucleotide non-coding RNA. Lineage: Eukaryota; Metazoa; Chordata; Amphibia; Anura; Pelobatidae. The record is from the annotation of a GenBank genome assembly.
GAAACUCUCUCAAGGAUAUUGAAGGCAAAUGGCAGUAGUGGUAGUUGUAUAGGGCGGUAGCUGGAUGGAGAGUUGGGGUCAAGGUUGGUCUUUUUCAGAAUCAGAGUUAUGGCUGCAUGCUUGAACAGUGAAAGAAAUGUGCCAAAGGAAAGGGAGAGAUUGAAAAUUUUAGUGAGCAGAAGAGCAAGAGAGGGAGACAGAGUGCGGAUGAGAUAUGAGGGAAUAGAAUCGAGAGAACAGGUGGUGGGGUGGGAGGACAAGAGCAGAGCAGAAACCUCUUCCAUUGUAGUGGGUGCAAAUGAUCAUAGAACAGCAGAGGGAGAGAGAUUAGGGAUAGUAGAAAUCUUCUCAGUGAAUUGAGGUGCAAAGUUUGAGGCAGACAGAGUGGUAGGAGGAGGGGGAGCAACAGGGUGAAGGAGAGCAUUAAAAGUGUGAAAUAGACAUUUGGGUUGGUAGGACAGUGUGCUUAUGAGGGUGUUGAAGUAAUUUAAUUUAGUAUAGGGAAAGAGCCAGACUGUAGGAGCGCAUCAUAAAUUUAUAGUGG